AUGAAUUUAAGGGCUUUGGUUUUCUUCAACCUUGGUACAAUCUUUUUGGCAGCGGGUAGAAAUGUGAUAUCAGAUGAGUAUUUCAAUACUGUCCCAGGAGCAACUGUGACGUUCAAUUGCCCCAAUUAUGACGCCGCGACACCACGAAUUUACGCUGUGGACGAAGCUGAGAUUACUCCAGAGUUGACUGACGAUGACAUGAUCUCGGGUACGGGAUUCAUAGUGCUUGCUAACGUUAGUGAAAAUGAUUCAAAGAUGUACGUUUGUGCUGUGCCAGGAGUCAAAGAUUACGCACAAGUGAGAAUUCAUGUGAAAGUUACAGACAAAUCUUUAUACUCCAGCCAAGAACUCAUCGAUGUACCCUCGUUCCGUCGAUUUCCGAUGGUGGGAGCAGCUGCCAAGGCAAAACACAAGCCACAGAAGAAAAAGAGGCGGAAAAAAUACCUAACUGAGGAUGAAACAACAACGACUUUGCCCUCAUCAACGACAACACAACCUUCAACAACAACAGACCUAGCUAAGAAUCCGGAUAAUCCACCCGGGGCAAAGUCUGACGAACUGGAGGAGUACAAAAACCGGACUGAGCUCCGAAAAACUCUUUACCCGCCCUCGAAACCAACAGUGAUGAAGGUGAGUGAUACGGAGGUGCAAGUAAAAUGGUCAAUCAACAUUAUGAAGGAUCACCCAGUCAAGUACUUUAUGAUCCAGUAUAUUGACAAAAACCACCUCGAUAUGGUCCUCGGCGGGGGAAACGAAUGUCAUGAUGUAGAAAAAGUGCCGGCCACCUUGUAUUGGCAUAACUUCGACCAACUCAUGCCAGGACACUCAUAUCAGUUCAGAGUCGCAGCUGUUUAUGAUGCGCCAGACGAGAUAUCUGUGCUCAGCAAAAGCUCUGAAUGGAUUGACAUAAAAUAAUUAGGACUCGAUAACGUGCCAAACAGAAACCGACAUUCUUCAUUCCUUGUUCCAGGUUCCAGGUUGCUGCUGUCUAUGACGGGAAAAAGCUCCUAUAUAGGACGAGCGAAUGGUCCGGUUGGUUCUUGCUAUGAUGUAAAUCUUGCAAUCAGUCUGACCCCGUUUCUAAUCAAAAGUUUGGGGACUAUUUCCAGACUAUCUGUGCGCACUCUAAAGCCCAAUUUACCCGGUUCAACUUUUCACUCAUCAUUUCUUCAAACUUUUGCAAAUGUUUACUGUGUCAUUCAAAUAGGAAAGAUUUCCAAUUAAUAGAGUCGGAAGAAAAAGUAGAUGAACCAUUUAACUGUGUGAAUUCGGUUUAAAAGGCUAAUAUAAAUUACCGAAUAGCUCCAUAUGUGAAUUGUGAAUAUCAUCCAAUGAGCGGGUAUGCAAAAGAAAAUUCAUGGAACGCGCAAUGAACGCUUCAUAAGGUCCGGAUUUUUUAAAAUUUUUUAGAUGAAUAGAAGUCUUUUAAGAAUCUGUGACUAGCUCUACUUAGGCCAAACUUUAAAGAUAAGCUGAGCUCCGUUUGUGAGCACAAGUUUCCUGAAACAAGUUACUUUAUUAAAAGUUAGUACUGUCUGAUUUUCAUGUAUGAUUACUUAAUGAUUUAUAUAUUUAAUUGUGUAAAUAUAAUGUUUUUCGAUAUUUUCGAUGAGUUUGUAAAUAAGUGUACAAAUCGACAAAAAGACAACAUAAAAUACUAUCGUAAAACCACGGUGGUAGUUUCCUCAUUCACCUUCAAUCAAUUUUUAACCCAAUUUAUACGCCUCAUCAGAAUAUACCAUGCAGAAUGUAUUUAUUUUGAGGUCCCAACUUUUUAAAUUCAUGACCCCCUUUUACCUCCGAAGGGGGCCGGGCGAGUUUAGAGAAAUGAAAUUUGAAUUCCUUGGGGGUCGAUAUCUCAUUCAACCUCACGGUCGCGGACUUUGUGCGACCGGAAUUAACCGAGAAAAAAAAAGCCCGUCACCGGUGAUCUGAAACACCCUGUAUGUGCCGGUAUGUCCGCGAGAUAAGGAACUUGUCGGACCCUUGGGUGCAGUACCUUAUGGGCAAAGGUCCUCCGGGUACCAGGUUGCUCUGGAUGGGUGCUUAAAUGAUGAUCCGAAGAGGUAACGUGGUAACGUAGACCGCACAAAUUGUGGUACUGCAUUCCAUAACGCAAAACCGCUGGAGCAUGAUCAUAUACGUUACUCUUCCGGAUCUUCAUGAUGACAUCG
Molecule: long non-coding RNA, 2174 nt
Filed under: Bemisia tabaci
Lineage: Eukaryota; Metazoa; Arthropoda; Insecta; Hemiptera; Aleyrodidae
Description: lncRNA ENSSSA2NGG012031
Source: RNAcentral